GGAAGUGGAUAGGAUCUGGUGGUCCUUGCGGACUUCAAAUCCGUGGUCCCCCUGGUUGGCCAGGGGGAGGUGGGUUCGAUUCCCACCCCUUCCGC
This 95-nucleotide transfer RNA is filed under the name Candidatus Zixiibacteriota bacterium. Its description in RNAcentral is "tRNA-Sec". It matches the Rfam family "Selenocysteine transfer RNA". Lineage: Bacteria; Pseudomonadati; Candidatus Zixiibacteriota. The record is from RNAcentral.